This is a long non-coding RNA of Gekko japonicus, 1665 nucleotides long. RefSeq lists it as uncharacterized. The transcript has 4 exons. The record is from RefSeq and is a predicted model, not a curated record. Lineage: Eukaryota; Metazoa; Chordata; Lepidosauria; Squamata; Gekkonidae.
UGGUGAAUCUCUUUCAUCAGUUUUAAUUGAGCAGCCCAGCAGUGAAGAGCAUCUAAAGGACUCCCUUAUCCAGAUUUAUCAAGAGAUUGCAUUUUUAAUAACAGAAAGGAACACAUGCUUUAAAAUACCUGAAAUAUGGAGAGGGGAGUGGUGAGAAUGACUAACCUUCAUGAAGUCAUAACUGGAUACAGGACAAACUUCCAGAAGCAACGAUUAAUGGCGAUGAAAGCAGCAAAGCGUAUAAAGGAUUCUUGUUACUGGUUUUAUUUUCAGUACCUGCUGAUCAGCUGCUGUGUUGACCUGGAGCCCUGGGAACAAAUAGUGAUACAUGUUUUUUCUGCCACUACUAUUACCAUGUUGGUCUUCACAGCUUAUGUGUUCAUUCCAAUCCAUUUACGUCUGGCUUUUAGGUUCUUCCUGCAGCUACUGGUCAAGUAGCCAGAGACAACAGUUCUCAGUGUUUGCCAUGAUGGUCCUGGGGGUUCUCUAUGUAAUUUUGAUGUGUUUGUGUAAAUAGAGUUAUUUAGAAGUCUGAGCCUGUUUCCCACCCUUUGUAGUCCCUUGGAAAUUGCUAAUUUUGACAACAGAUUUUUGCAACAGUGAGUCAUGGCGGCAGGAAGGAAGCCACAAGUCACUAGUCUUCCACCAUUUUAUUUAAAAAAAUUACCCACAGAAUUGUUAUGGGUAGAAAUUCCAACCGUCACUGAUGUAACAUGGGAAUAGGGAAGUUCUAUUGCGGCCCAACUAAACUUAAUGGUCUUUCUUUGAGCCUACCGAAGUAGUAACAAAAAAAACUGUGCGGGAGUUUGUGCUAAUAAAUUUGAAAUAUUAAUCAAAAUGAUUUCAUAAAAAAGAGUGUACAAUAUUUGCAUCACAUAUCAAAUGCAAGUGAAGACGGUGAUCUCCGGAAUGUGCUGCCGUUUCAACACAAGUCUUCUUCUGAACAGUGAUGUAUACAUGUGGUGUCUCUCUAUUUCAUUUCAACUGAUUCAUCAUCAACAAUUUCAUGGAUCUCUCAGGAUUGUCUAAUACAUUGUAGAAACAGUUUCUAGAAAAGCCUUGUUGUUGGGACUGGACCACUUAUGACUAAAGAUGGGGCACUGCUCGUUUGCAUGCUUAACUAUCUGCCCAUCAGAAGGCUAGGCUGGACCCUCUUCCCUGGGAUGCUUGCCGGUCUGCAGUAGCAGGGAGGAAGAGCAACAACACUUGCCACUUCUGGCCAUGAGAAGUGCCGUUAUGCAACCAGAAUAUGCCAUUCAACAGGCAAAGAUCACCUUUGGCUCUGUAAAUUAAUCUACAGCUUAACUUCUGUACCCUGUAAGGGGUAAAUUAACACAAGUUAUACUUUCUUUCAGAUGAGGCUCCUUGCACUCAUGCCUUGCCUCGGUUUUCAGCUUCACAUUGGGGUCAGGGGAUGUUCAUAAACUCUGCAUUCCUAUGGAACAGAUCCCUUAGUUAAUCCAAAAUUGACAUAUGUGUUGGCUCAUGCCCAGGUUCAUCUUGUUUAUUGGCAUAGUGUCUUUGGAAUUCAUUGCUUCCAGAUAUUUGUUGGAUCCAGCUCAUCUUGCUCUUUACGGAGUGUCUCAAGGCAUGUUUAUAUGUGUACGUUUGUUCCAAUUAAAGUAACAUUUCAUGGAGAUUCCAGAGAGGUGGCUGUGUCAGUCU